RNAcentral lists this ribosomal RNA (465 nucleotides) under uncultured bacterium. Its description in RNAcentral is "partial 16S ribosomal RNA". It matches the Rfam family "Bacterial small subunit ribosomal RNA", at positions 28 to 507 of the family's 1533-position model. The record is from RNAcentral.
GACGAACGCUGGCGGCGUGCUUAACACAUGCAAGUCGAACGGAAAGGCCCCCUUGUGGGGUACUCGAGUGGCGAACGGGUGAGUAACACGUGAGUAACCUACCCUUGACUUUGGGAUAACUUCAGGAAACUGGGGCUAAUACCGGAUAGGAGCUCCUGCUGCAUGGUGGGGGUUGGAAAGUUUCGGCGGUUGGGGAUGGACUCGCGGCUUAUCAGCUUGUUGGUGGGGUAGUGGCUCACCAAGGCUUUGACGUGUAGCCGGCCUGAGAGGGUGACCGGCCACAUUGGGACUGAGAUACGGCCCAGACUCCUACGGGAGGCAGCAGUGGGGAAUAUUGCACAAUGGGCGGAAGCCUGAUGCAGCAACGCCGCGUGCGGGAUGACGGCCUUCGGGUUGUAAACCGCUUUCGCCUGUGACGAAGCGUGAGUGACGGUAAUGGGUAAAGAAGCACCGGCUAACUACGUG